This is a long non-coding RNA of Synchiropus splendidus (mandarinfish), 1275 nucleotides long. RefSeq lists it as uncharacterized. The transcript is spliced from 3 exons. NCBI's taxonomy places the organism in Eukaryota, Metazoa, Chordata, Actinopteri, Syngnathiformes, Callionymidae. The record is from RefSeq and is a predicted model, not a curated record.
UCUUCGCAUCCAAAGGUGAAGAGCGUCAUAAGGAAUAGGUGAGAAGAGAGGCCCUUUGAAUGUAAACAGCAAAAAGGAUUAUAGCAACACAAUCCAAAACAGUGGGAAGAAGCUAUCAGAACAGUGUAGAGAAAGAACAGCGGCAAGAAGGCGUGACUAAGUACCACUGUUUACCUAAACUUGUGUUUUGUACUGCAGACCCUACGUGUGAGAGAUUUACAUUACCGUUCAGGGUUGCCGUCUGAUCCUUUACGUCCAGACACAACGAUCGCGCAACUUGGUUUGAAUGAGAAUAAGUCCUUCAUUUACAGGAACCAGCUCUUCUUCCUCAAAGACCGUUGACUGACCCUCAUUAUUUACAGAUAUCACCACUACUUUCUCCGCUUCACAGCACAGCGAACCAGUGUUCGUCCCAAGAUGGCAGUGAAUAACCCGAACUGAAACGGACACACAUACUCGGGUUUGGAAAAGACAAGACUGAAGGUUUGGAGCUGGCUAACAGAUGAAUGCUCAAUGUUAUUGCCCCAAAAGAGCUGAUUCUGGUUUGAAAGUCGCUGGGAUAUUAGGAAAGUAAUUCAUUGUGUAACUUUUACAUUUGAAUAUGUUCUUUCCAGAAGCACAAAAAACAAAGUAAAGUUGGGGAAAGCGACAUCACCUCUGAUAAAAGUGCGAUCUUUCAAAGUGCUGCUACAUAUGCAUUAUAUCUAGCAGGGCUGGCAGAGAGGCAGUGACCAGAGAGGACUCCUGCUGAAUGCAAAAUAACUUCACAGCUCUGCCAAAAUACAUCCAGCAAAAAAGCUGAUGUUGAUAAAUCCUGAAAACAAGGUGUCUUGACCAGUUAUAUAAACCUGCAGUCAUUAAAGAGGUGCAGUUUUGUCACGGCCUGGGAGCAAGACGGCGGAUGAUGGUGUCGGAAACAGAAACCUCACUGUUUUUACCAACAAGGUGACCUCAGGCGGCAGGGAAGGCCGACCCAAAACGUCACCUGGAUGUAAAACGCGACACCUUAUAUCACGAACAAUCGACUGUUUAUGAGCUGUGAUCGUUCAGGUGAAGUCUUUCAUGCGCUCCAUAUUGCUACUUCAAUGAGGGGGGUUCACACAUAAAAAGGCAUUGUCCACUGUCAUCUUCUCUGCCAGCCUCAAUUUUGUCCUCUCUUCCAACCAAACUUUCACUGUAUUUCAAAAACCUUUUUUUUUAACCCAGUUAAAAUGUCAUAUCAAUUCAGGAAAAGUACUAACUGUUUGGCCUUGUCACCUUCAGGCCCCAUAUGUA